UCUUUAGUGGAUGCCUAGACAGAAGAAAAUCAGGGACGUUAGACGCAACGAAACGCCAUAUGUUAGGUGCGUAAAUCCUAAGAACUAUGGAUUUCCCUAAAGGAAACUUCAAGAUCAAAUUUGACCUAGUGAACUGAAACAUCUAAGUAACUAGAGGAAAAAAAAUCAACCGAGACUCCGUUAGUAGUGGUGAGCGAACACGGAUUAGGCCUUAAUUCUUUUUAAAUCUUACAUAUUGAAGCUGUUUGGAACGACGCGCCAAAGAAGGUGAUAGCCCUGUAAACCUAUGUAGAUGGUGAACAUUUUUUUUGUCAAAAGGAUUAAAACAUGAGUAAAACGAAGACCUCCUUUGUUUGAAUUUGUAAAAGGGGGACCACCCUCUAAGCCUAAGUAAAAUCUUCUGAUCGAUAGUGAACAAGUACCGUGAGGGAAAGGUGAAACAGAUUCCUAAAUAGGGAGUGAAAUAGAUCCUGAAACUGAAUGCUUACAAGCAGUCGACGCUUUUUAAAAAAGUAACGGCGUACCUUUUGCAUAAUGGGUCAGCGAGUAAAUUUAUCAAGCAAGCCUAAACUCUUAAGUGGAGGCGGAGUUAAAGCAAGUUUUAAAUCAACAAAUCAGUUUGUGCAAUUUGACCCGAAACCAAGCGAUCUAAUCAUGAGCAGGUUGAAAAAAUGAUAACACGUUUUGGAGGACCCAACCCACAUCUGUGGCAAUAGAUGGGGACGACUUGUGAUUAUGGGGUGAAAAGCCAAUCGAGCUUGGAAAUAGCUGGUUUUCUGCGAAAUCUAUUGAGGUAGAGCGUAUAGACAUUGGUUGAAAAGGAGGUAGAGCACUCAUUGGGUGAUGGUGGCCCAAAGCCUUACUGAUCCCACGGAAACUCCGAAUGCCUUUUUAAUCCUUAUACAGACAGACUAGAGGCGCUAAGGUCUCUAGUCAAAAGGGAAACAGCCCAGAUCGAACGCUAAGGUUCCAAAGCAAUUUCUGAGUGGUAAAGGGAGUUACUAGGCCUAGACAACCAGGAGGUAGGCUUGGAAGCAGCCAUCCUUUGAAGAAAGCGUAAUAGCUCACUGGUCUUUCCAAAAAAAGCUUUUUGGACUGUCUAGUAGCGCCAAAAAUGUAUCGGAGCUCAAGAAAUUCACCGAAGCGGCGAUUUUCGGUUUGUUGCUUUUGCCUUUAAUGGAAAAAAAAGCAACACACUGAAAAGGUAGCAGAACGUUCUGUAAAUCGUUGAAGUUUCAUUGUUAAAUGGAAUCGAGAAAUCAGAAGUGAGAAUGCUGACAUGAGUAACGAGAAAUCAUGUGAAAAUCAUGAUAGCCGAAAGUCCUAGGUUUUCUACAGACCGUUUCUCGGUGUAGAGUGAAUCGGCCCCUAAGAGAGAAGCGAAUGCUCCGUCUUAAUGGGUACAAUGUGUACCAUUCAUUGAUGUUUCAUUUAGUGACGGCUCGUUCCAAAUUGGUGUCCAAAUUUGGAAUUCAAGAUUUGGAAACAAAUUUGGAAUUCCGGAUUUGGAAACCAAUUUGGAAACAUACCUUACAAGGUCAUGGAUACGGACCGAGAAUUUCUUUGAAACACAGAGAAAUCAAGGUAUAAGUGAGUCCAGGAAAAAACUAAAUGAGUUUUCAGUUGAUUCCAAUUUUGGAAAAAGAUUGAAAACACUUUCUCAAUUUGAAAUCAAAUUGAGAAACACCGUACUACAACCGACACUGGUGGACUGGUUUGACAGACUAAGGCUUAGAGAGAAUCAUGUUGAAGGAACUCGGCAAAUUACCUCCGUAACUUCGGAAUAAGGAGGACAUGGUUUGUUAUUGAUGGAUUCUGUUGAAUUCAAUCAAGACUUCCAUGUGGCACAGAAUAGGGGGUGGCGACUGUUUACUAAAAACACAGGACUCUGCUAAGUGGUAACACGACGUAUAGGGUCUGACACCUGCCCGGUGCUGGAAACUUAACAGGAGGGGUGCGUGGCAAUACAAGCUCUAAAUGAAAGGUCCAGUAAACGGCGGCCGUAACUCUGACGGUCCUAAGGUAGCGAAAUUCCUUGUCGGGUAAGUUCCGACCUGCAUGAAUGGUGUCACGACUUCCCCACUGUCUCCAACAUGAUCUCA
Molecule: ribosomal RNA, 2102 nt
Filed under: Ettlia oleoabundans
Lineage: Eukaryota; Viridiplantae; Chlorophyta; Chlorophyceae; Chlamydomonadales
Description: bacterial LSU rRNA
Rfam family: Bacterial large subunit ribosomal RNA
Source: RNAcentral